GUUUUUAGUACCAUGUGCUCGACGACUGCUGAGGGAACAAAGGAUCCAAGAUGGCCGACCUCAUGGUCUGCAGUCGAACGGCGGCCACCUAGGAGAGCCUCUAAUUACCGAUUGCAACAUUGUUGCAAUCGGUUAACAAGCGCCACACGUCUCUAAGUGUGUGGGCUACUACAUGGUGGUUAUUUCGAUUCACGAACGGCCCGCAAAAGUGCCGUUCGUGAAACGAAAGGAAAUACAGCUAUCUGCAUUCGGCAGAUAGCCAAUACAGUAAAUACACGUUAUUACAGCCGGCAUACAUUACACUUAGUUAAACACUUAUCCCCACAGACAUACAGGCAACUCUUAAAGGCACAGUCUCUUUAUAUUGUCCAAGUGGCUAGGUUUGCCACAGUUUUUAUUUGAUAUGAUGUCAAGAAACCCGUAGUGUUAGGUUGUUGGAUAAGCAUAUGGUGCUGGAUGCCUGUUAGGUAUAGUUUAAUGGUAUUAAAGGAUAGUUUAAGGUUGAUAUGGCAAACUAAGUAAAACUUAGUUUGCCACAUCAACUUAAAAUUGUUUCUAACGCAAACAUGUCGUGGAUGUUAAACUCGGUGAUAAAUUUCGUGAAUACGUGAAAAAGCCCUAUCAUUAGUGUUUAGUGAGAGUGCCAAAUGAGAAAUGUGACGUGCGUGGUCUAACAAAGUCUUUAAUCCAUUAUCAUGUCUUGGAAUAGAGGUGCAGGUGUCUCUCGUCUGCAAGCGUUGGGUAGUGUCGAGAGGAAAACGAAACAGAGACAAGUGAUCAGCAGAGGUGUUUGUGUGCCCCGGAAUGUGUAUGCAUGUUAUAAAGAAUUGACAAGUGGCCGCUACCCAUGUGAGACGCCUUAGUAGUCUCAUAAUGACCAGUGAUGCCGAUCGGCCUUUAUUGACAAUAUGGCAUGUAGCCAUAUUAUCUGAGUAGCA
Pelobates cultripes (western spadefoot toad) is the source of this 938-nucleotide non-coding RNA. The record is from the annotation of a GenBank genome assembly. NCBI's taxonomy places the organism in Eukaryota, Metazoa, Chordata, Amphibia, Anura, Pelobatidae.